GACGAACGCUGGCGGCGUGCUUAACACAUGCAAGUCGAACGGAAAGGCCCUGCUUUUGUGGGGUGCUCGAGUGGCGAACGGGUGAGUAUCACGUGAGUAACCUGCCCUUGACUUUGGGAUAACUUCAGGAAACUGGGGCUAAUACCGGAUAGGAGCUCCUGCUGCAUGGUGGGGGUUGGAAAGUUUCGGCGGUUGGGGAUGGACUCGCGGCUUAUCAGCUUGUUGGUGGGGUAGUGGCUUACCAAGGCUUUGACGGGUAGCCGGCCUGAGAGGGUGACCGGCCACAUUGGGACUGAGAUACGGCCCAGACUCCUACGGGAGGCAGCAGUGGGGAAUAUUGCACAAUGGGCGGAAGCCUGAUGCAGCAACGCCGCGUGCGGGAUGACGGCCUUCGGGUUGUAAACCGCUUUCGCCUGAGACGAAGCGUGAGUGACGGUAAUGGGUAAAGAAGCACCGGCUAACUACGUG
Molecule: ribosomal RNA, 468 nt
Filed under: uncultured bacterium
Lineage: Bacteria
Description: partial 16S ribosomal RNA
Rfam family: Bacterial small subunit ribosomal RNA
Source: RNAcentral